This 375-nucleotide long non-coding RNA is filed under the name Dermacentor andersoni. Its description in RNAcentral is "uncharacterized LOC126539321". Lineage: Eukaryota; Metazoa; Arthropoda; Arachnida; Ixodida; Ixodidae. The record is from RNAcentral.
GAUUCUCACGUCUGUAGACGAUCGGUGGAGCAGCGCCCUUCUACAAGCAUACUUUGCACCAGAGCUAUAGACAUGGACGGACCUUGCAAGUGUGGUGACCCAAACUGCCGCUGCACAUCGUCCUGCCAGUGCGGCUCGGGACGAUGCGGCUGCGGAAGAUGCAGCAAGUAGCGUCGCACGUGCACGCAUGGGGAAACACUGGGGAAAAGAUGUAACUCGGAGGAGAGUCAUCGAAUAAAAAAAAUGAAAAAAAAAACCGAAACGACAUCUAAGCGACUAUGACUUCCAGCUGCUGCUCAAACAGUGAUGAAGCUUAAUCGCGGCGUGAGGAGCGGCGAAUAAUAAUAAAGAAAAAAGCAAUGCGAGAAAAUGAGA